CCUACGGGAGGCUGCAGUGAGGAAUAUUGGUCAAUGGACGCAAGUCUGAACCAGCCAUGCCGCGUGCAGGAAGACGGCUCUAUGAGUUGUAAACUGCUUUUGUACGAGGGUAAACGCAGAUACGCGUAUCUGUCUGAAAGUCUCGUACGAAUAAGGAUCGGCUAACUCCGUGCCAGCAGCCGCGGUAAUACGGAGGAUCCAAGCGUUAUCCGGAUUUAUUGGGUUUAAAGGGUGCGUAGGCGGUCGGAUAAGUUAGAGGUGAAAUCCCGAGGCUCAACUUCGGAAUUGCCGCUGAUACUGUUCGGCUAGAGAGUAGUAGCGGUAGGCGGAAUGUAUGGUGUAGCGGUGAAAUGCUUAGAGAUCAUACAGAACACCGAUUGCGAAGGCAGCUUACCAAGCUACUUCUGACGUUGAGGCACGAAAGCGUGGGGAGCGAACAGGAUUAGAUACCCUUGUAGUC
This 460-nucleotide ribosomal RNA is filed under the name uncultured bacterium. RNAcentral describes it as "partial 16S ribosomal RNA". It matches the Rfam family "Bacterial small subunit ribosomal RNA", at positions 338 to 795 of the family's 1533-position model. The record is from RNAcentral.